This 454-nucleotide ribosomal RNA is filed under the name Pseudomonas sp. Its description in RNAcentral is "bacterial SSU rRNA". It matches the Rfam family "Bacterial small subunit ribosomal RNA", at positions 56 to 503 of the family's 1533-position model. Lineage: Bacteria; Pseudomonadati; Pseudomonadota; Gammaproteobacteria; Pseudomonadales; Pseudomonadaceae. The record is from RNAcentral.
UGCAAGUCGAGCGGCAGCACGGGUACUUGUACCUGGUGGCGAGCGGCGGACGGGUGAGUAAUGCCUAGGAAUCUGCCUGGUAGUGGGGGAUAACGCUCGGAAACGGACGCUAAUACCGCAUACGUCCUACGGGAGAAAGCAGGGGACCUUCGGGCCUUGCGCUAUCAGAUGAGCCUAGGUCGGAUUAGCUAGUUGGUGAGGUAAUGGCUCACCAAGGCGACGAUCCGUAACUGGUCUGAGAGGAUGAUCAGUCACACUGGAACUGAGACACGGUCCAGACUCCUACGGGAGGCAGCAGUGGGGAAUAUUGGACAAUGGGCGAAAGCCUGAUCCAGCCAUGCCGCGUGUGUGAAGAAGGUCUUCGGAUUGUAAAGCACUUUAAGUUGGGAGGAAGGGCAUUUACCUAAUACGUAAGUGUUUUGACGUUACCGACAGAAUAAGCACCGGCUAACUC